GCAUCGGUAGCUCAGUGGUAGAGCAAGCGGCUGCAGUUCAGCGGCUCCAUUAGGAUUUCUGCUGAGCUUCCGCUGGGUCGCGCGUUCAAUUCGCGCCCGGUGCU
Molecule: transfer RNA, 104 nt
Filed under: Rasamsonia emersonii
Lineage: Eukaryota; Fungi; Ascomycota; Eurotiomycetes; Eurotiales; Trichocomaceae
Also listed under: 1 other name
Description: tRNA-Cys
Rfam family: tRNA
About the family: Transfer RNA (tRNA) molecules are approximately 80 nucleotides in length. Their secondary structure includes four short double-helical elements and three loops (D, anti-codon, and T loops).
Source: RNAcentral